UACGUAGGCAGCAAGCGUUGUUCGGAAUUACUGGGCGUAAAGAGUGUGUAGGCGGUGCUCCAAGUCUGGUGUGAAAUCUCCCGGCUUAACUGGGAGGGUGCAUUAGAAACUGGAAUGCUAGAGGAUGGGAGAGGUAAGCGGAAUUCCUGGUGUAGCGGUGAAAUGCGUAGAUAUCAGGAGGAACACCUGUGGUUUAGACAGCUUACUGGACCAUUUCUGACGCUGAGACACGAAAGCGUGGGUAGCAAACAGG
Molecule: ribosomal RNA, 253 nt
Filed under: uncultured bacterium
Lineage: Bacteria
Description: partial 16S ribosomal RNA
Rfam family: Bacterial small subunit ribosomal RNA
Source: RNAcentral